AUGUCAUUAAAAAAUCAACACUAGCAUGUGGGUUUGGGUGUUAAGUGCUCCAAGGAGGUUGCCACUGCCAUCCGAGGAGCCAUCAUCCUGGAGAAGCUCUCCAUUGUCCCUGUGCAGAGAGGCUACUGGGGGAACAAGAUUGGUAUGCCUCACACCGUACCGUGCAAGGUGACAGACCACUGUGGAUCUGUGCUGGUGCACCUCAUCCCCGCCCCCAGAAGCACUGGGACUGUUUCAGCUCCUGUCCCCAAGAAGCUGUUGAUGAUGGCUGGUAUUGAUGACUGCUACACCUCAGCCAGGGGCUGUACUGCUACUUUGGGCAACUUUGGCAAGGCCACUUUUGAUGCCAUCACCAAGACCUACAGUUACCUGACCCCUGAUCUCUGGAAAGAGACCCUGUUCACCAAAUCUCCUUAUCAGGAAUUCACUGACCAUCUUCUGAAAACCCACACCAGAGUCUCUGUGCAGAGGACCCAGGCUCCAGCUGUGGCUACAACAUAG
Molecule: RNA transcript, 501 nt
Organism: Perognathus longimembris pacificus (Pacific pocket mouse)
Lineage: Eukaryota; Metazoa; Chordata; Mammalia; Rodentia; Heteromyidae
Gene name: 40S ribosomal protein S2-like
Exons: 1
Source: RefSeq, a predicted model, not a curated record